Molecule: ribosomal RNA, 2394 nt
Filed under: Salmonella enterica subsp. enterica serovar Typhimurium var. 5-
Lineage: Bacteria; Pseudomonadati; Pseudomonadota; Gammaproteobacteria; Enterobacterales; Enterobacteriaceae
Description: bacterial LSU rRNA
Rfam family: Bacterial large subunit ribosomal RNA
Source: RNAcentral
GUAGCAAGGUUAACCGUAUAGGGGAGCCGGAGGGAAACCGAGUCUUAAUUGGGCGUUAAGUUGCAGGGUAUAGACCCGAAACCCGGUGAUCUAGCCAUGGGCAGGUUGAAGGUUGGGUAACACUAACUGGAGGACCGAACCGACUAAUGUUGAAAAAUUAGCGGAUGACCUGUGGCUGGGGGUGAAAGGCCAAUCAAACCGGGAGAUAGCUGGUUCUCCCCGAAAGCUAUUUAGGUAGCGCCUCGUGAAUUCAUCUCCGGGGGUAGAGCACUGUUUCGGCUAGGGGGCCAUCCCGGCUUACCAACCCGAUGCAAACUGCGAAUACCGGAGAAUGUUAUCACGGGAGACACACGGCGGGUGCUAACGUCCGUCGUGAAGAGGGAAACAACCCAGACCGCCAGCUAAGGUCCCAAAGUCAUGGUUAAGUGGGAAACGAUGUGGGAAGGCCCAGACAGCCAGGAUGUUGGCUUAGAAGCAGCCAUCAUUUAAAGAAAGCGUAAUAGCUCACUGGUCGAGUCGGCCUGCGCGGAAGAUGUAACGGGGCUAAACCAUGCACCGAAGCUGCGGCAGCGAACGUAUCACCCAAGACAACUUUACGGAGUUGACGAUUGACGGAGCGAAGCGACGUCAAAGCGUUCAUUAAAGUCGAGUUGGCUUAGGGAUACGUUCGUUGGGUAGGGGAGCGUUCUGUAAGCCUGUGAAGGUGUGUCGUGAGGCAUGCUGGAGGUAUCAGAAGUGCGAAUGCUGACAUAAGUAACGAUAAAGCGGGUGAAAAGCCCGCUCGCCGGAAGACCAAGGGUUCCUGUCCAACGUUAAUCGGGGCAGGGUGAGUCGACCCCUAAGGCGAGGCCGAAAGGCGUAGUCGAUGGGAAACGGGUUAAUAUUCCCGUACUUGGUGUUACUGCGAAGGGGGGACGGAGAAGGCUAUGUUGGCCGGGCGACGGUUGUCCCGGUUUAAGCGUGUAGGUGUGUGUUCCAGGUAAAUCCGGUUCACUUUAACACUGAGGCGUGACGACGAGGCACUACGGUGCUGAAGCAACAAAUGCCCUGCUUCCAGGAAAAGCCUCUAAGCAUCAGGUAACAUCAAAUCGUACCCCAAACCGACACAGGUGGUCAGGUAGAGAAUACCAAGGCGCUUGAGAGAACUCGGGUGAAGGAACUAGGCAAAAUGGUGCCGUAACUUCGGGAGAAGGCACGCUGACACGUAGGUGAAGUGAUUUACUCAUGGAGCUGAAGUCAGUCGAAGAUACCAGCUGGCUGCAACUGUUUAUUAAAAACACAGCACUGUGCAAACACGAAAGUGGACGUAUACGGUGUGACGCCUGCCCGGUGCCGGAAGGUUAAUUGAUGGGGUCAGCGCAAGCGAAGCUCCUGAUCGAAGCCCCGGUAAACGGCGGCCGUAACUAUAACGGUCCUAAGGUAGCGAAAUUCCUUGUCGGGUAAGUUCCGACCUGCACGAAUGGCGUAAUGAUGGCCAGGCUGUCUCCACCCGAGACUCAGUGAAAUUGAACUCGCUGUGAAGAUGCAGUGUACCCGCGGCAAGACGGAAAGACCCCGUGAACCUUUACUAUAGCUUGACACUGAACAUUGAGCCUUGAUGUGUAGGAUAGGUGGGAGGCUUUGAAGUGUGGACGCCAGUCUGCAUGGAGCCGACCUUGAAAUACCACCCUUUAAUGUUUGAUGUUCUAACGUGGACCCGUAAUCCGGGUUGCGGACAGUGUCUGGUGGGUAGUUUGACUGGGGCGGUCUCCUCCUAAAGAGUAACGGAGGAGCACGAAGGUUGGCUAAUCCUGGUCGGACAUCAGGAGGUUAGUGCAAUGGCAUAAGCCAGCUUGACUGCGAGCGUGACGGCGCGAGCAGGUGCGAAAGCAGGUCAUAGUGAUCCGGUGGUUCUGAAUGGAAGGGCCAUCGCUCAACGGAUAAAAGGUACUCCGGGGAUAACAGGCUGAUACCGCCCAAGAGUUCAUAUCGACGGCGGUGUUUGGCACCUCGAUGUCGGCUCAUCACAUCCUGGGGCUGAAGUAGGUCCCAAGGGUAUGGCUGUUCGCCAUUUAAAGUGGUACGCGAGCUGGGUUUAGAACGUCGUGAGACAGUUCGGUCCCUAUCUGCCGUGGGCGCUGGAGAACUGAGGGGGGCUGCUCCUAGUACGAGAGGACCGGAGUGGACGCAUCACUGGUGUUCGGGUUGUCAUGCCAAUGGCACUGCCCGGUAGCUAAAUGCGGAAGAGAUAAGUGCUGAAAGCAUCUAAGCACGAAACUUGCCCCGAGAUGAGUUCUCCCUGAGACUUAGAGUCUCCUGAAGGAACGUUGAAGACGACGACGUUGAUAGGCCGGGUGUGUAAGCGCAGCGAUGCGUUGAGCUAACCGGUACUAAUGAACCGUGAGGCUUAACCUU